CAAAUCAAGCUUAUUAGUUAAGAUUUUCAUUUACACUGAAAUUGAUGUCGUGCAAAUCGAUAUGAUUUGA
Molecule: transfer RNA, 70 nt
Filed under: Pycnoscelus surinamensis (Surinam cockroach)
Lineage: Eukaryota; Metazoa; Arthropoda; Insecta; Blattodea; Blaberidae
Also listed under: 1 other name
Description: tRNA-Val
Source: RNAcentral